This 301-nucleotide ribosomal RNA is filed under the name uncultured bacterium. RNAcentral's name for it is "partial 16S ribosomal RNA". It matches the Rfam family "Bacterial small subunit ribosomal RNA", at positions 509 to 807 of the family's 1533-position model. The record is from RNAcentral.
CAGUAGCCGCGGGAAUACGAAGGGGGCUAGCGUUGUUCGGAAUUACUGGGCGUAAAGGGCGCGUAGGCGGCCAUUCAAGUUAGAUGUGAAAGCCCUGGGCUCAACCUAGGAAUUGCAUUUGAUACUGUUUGGCUUGAGUUCGGGAGAGGUGAGUGGAAUUCCCAGUGUAGAGGUGAAAUUCGUAGAUAUUGGGAAGAACACCAGUAGCGGAGGCGGCUCACUGGACCGACACUGACGCUGAGGCGCGAAAGCGUGGGGAGCAAACAGGAUUAGAUACCCCCGUAGUCCCUGUCUCUUAUAC